GCGGACGUGGCGAAACUGGUAGACGCAAGAGACUUAAAAUCUCUCGGCCCGAAAGGCUGUGCGGGUUCGAUCCCCGCCGUCCGCA
This 85-nucleotide transfer RNA is filed under the name Allobosea sp. OK403. RNAcentral's name for it is "Bosea sp. OK403 tRNA". It matches the Rfam family "tRNA". From Rfam's summary of the family: Transfer RNA (tRNA) molecules are approximately 80 nucleotides in length. Their secondary structure includes four short double-helical elements and three loops (D, anti-codon, and T loops). Further hydrogen bonds mediate the characteristic L-shaped molecular structure. tRNAs have two regions of fundamental functional importance: the anti-codon, which is responsible for specific mRNA codon recognition, and the 3' end, to which the tRNAs corresponding amino acid is attached (by aminoacyl-tRNA synthetases). tRNAs cope with the degeneracy of the genetic code in two manners: having more than one tRNA (with a specific anti-codon) for a particular amino acid; and 'wobble' base-pairing, i.e. permitting non-standard base-pairing at the 3rd anti-codon position. The record is from Rfam by way of RNAcentral. Lineage: Bacteria; Pseudomonadati; Pseudomonadota; Alphaproteobacteria; Hyphomicrobiales; Alloboseaceae. RNAcentral also lists the same sequence under 1 other name.